GGAAUCUUGCACAAUGGGCGAAAGCCUGAUGCAGCCAUGCCGCGUGAAUGAUGAAGGCCUUAGGGUUGUAAAAUUCUUUCGCCAGGGAUGAUAAUGACAGUACCUGGUAAAGAAGCCCCGGCUAACUUCGUGCCAGCAGCCGCGGUAAUACGAAGGGGGCUAGCGUUGUUCGGAAUUACUGGGCGUAAAGCGCGCGUAGGCGGGCUAUUAAGCCAGAUGUGAAAGCCCGGGGCUCAACCUCGGAAUUGCAUUUGGAACUGGUAGCCUAGAGACCAGGAGAGGUUAGCGGAAUACCGAGUGUAGAGGUGAAAUUCGUAGAUAUUCGGUGGAACACCAGUGGCGAAGGCGGCUAACUGGACUGGUACUGACGCUGAGGCGCGAAAGUGUGGGGAGCA
This 395-nucleotide ribosomal RNA is filed under the name uncultured bacterium. RNAcentral describes it as "bacterial SSU rRNA". It matches the Rfam family "Bacterial small subunit ribosomal RNA", at positions 358 to 770 of the family's 1533-position model. The record is from RNAcentral.